Molecule: small nucleolar RNA, 138 nt
Organism: Tachyglossus aculeatus (Australian echidna)
Lineage: Eukaryota; Metazoa; Chordata; Mammalia; Monotremata; Tachyglossidae
Source: RefSeq, a predicted model, not a curated record
AGCCUCUCAGGGUCGCACCUGGAGAGUUUCCAGUAGUCUACUAGUCACGACUACAGGAGGAAAAGUCAAGCAGAUGCUUACCCGUUCCAUUCCUAGCUUGGCCAGUGGCUAGCAAGUGGAAGGCAACCUGCUACAAGU